RNAcentral lists this unclassified non-coding RNA (227 nucleotides) under Hevea brasiliensis (rubber tree). Lineage: Eukaryota; Viridiplantae; Streptophyta; Magnoliopsida; Malpighiales; Euphorbiaceae. The record is from RNAcentral.
AGCUCUUCCUACCCUUGCAAAUGCUGCCAAAAACAGUGUUGAAUGGGUUCUUGGUAUGCUUGGGAUUAGUUUCGCUAAGAGAACAAAGCUCAAAAUCCUUAAAGAUGCGUCUGGGAUUAUAAAACCAUCAAGGAUGGCACUAUUAUUAGGUCCACCAUCGUCUGGGAAAACAACCCUGCUGCUAGCACUUGCCGGGAAGUUGGACUCAAAUCUAAAGACUACAGGAG